This 253-nucleotide ribosomal RNA is filed under the name uncultured bacterium. RNAcentral's name for it is "partial 16S ribosomal RNA". It matches the Rfam family "Bacterial small subunit ribosomal RNA", at positions 524 to 776 of the family's 1533-position model. The record is from RNAcentral.
UACGUAGGAUGCAAGCGUUGUCCGGAAUUACUGGGCGUAAAGGGCGAGCAGGUGGCACUACAAGUCUGAUGUAAAAUCUCCCGGCUUAACUGGGAGGGGCCAUUGGAAACUGUAGAGCUGGAGUGCAGGAGAGGCUAACGGAAUUCCCGGUGUAGUGGUGAAAUGCGUAGAUAUCGGGAGGAACACCAGUGGCGAAGGCGGCUUCCUGGCCUGUUCUUGACGCUGAGGCGCGAAAGCUAGGGGAGCAAACGGG